This 253-nucleotide ribosomal RNA is filed under the name uncultured bacterium. Its description in RNAcentral is "partial 16S ribosomal RNA". It matches the Rfam family "Bacterial small subunit ribosomal RNA", at positions 524 to 776 of the family's 1533-position model. The record is from RNAcentral.
UACGAAGGGUGCAAGCGUUACUCGGAAUUACUGGGCGUAGAGCGCACGUAGGCGGCUUUGCAAGUCGGUUGUGAAAUCCCCGGGCUCAACCUGGGAACUGCAUCCGAGACUGCAUUGCUAGAGUAUGGGAGAGGAAAGCGGAAUUUCUGGUGUAGCAGUGAAAUGCGUAGAUAUCAGAAGGAACAUCAGUGGCGAAGGCGGCUUUCUGGACCAAUACUGACGAUCAGGUGCGAAAGCGUGGGGAGCAAACAGG